Long non-coding RNA from Oreochromis aureus, 729 nucleotides. NCBI's taxonomy places the organism in Eukaryota, Metazoa, Chordata, Actinopteri, Cichliformes, Cichlidae. The record is from Ensembl.
CUCGGUCUGCUCCUCAAACCAGUCAGGACUCGGUGGAUGCUGAAGUUUCCUACGCUACCAUCAGCUACACCAAGACCAACAAUAAAGUUCAGGUUCGGGGUGAUGAUGAAGGUGAUGCAGUGACCUACAGCACUGUGAAGGCUCAUUCCUCUUCUCACUCGUCACUCUGAUCAGCCACUGCUGAUCCCAGCAGCCUCUCCUCUGCUGUCACUUUUCCACUCACAUAGUUCAAGUUGACAAAAAGGACUUGCAUUUAAGUUAAAGACUUUUGUUUUGUGUUUGCAUACAGCAGAUUGGUAGCAACAUGCUAAUUAACGUAAAUGAUUAGAUAGAUACCAUAAUUAUAACAAAUAUUUGGUUUCAAAUCCAGAAUCAUGUCUUUAUAUCCUCCAUUAAAACUAUGUAAAUAAAUGUAAAUAGAAACUUUUUCUUAAUUUUCUUAAUGAAGUCAGACCAGUGUGUUUCCAUAAUGUGAUCCAAGUGUGAAUAUCUAAAUGCAAACAAACCAAAAGCCUUGCAUAGAUAUUACUGAUAUAGUUAUAUGUUUAUAUUUUAUGAUAUUUCACAGGAAAAAAAACUUUUCUGCAAACAUUUUUGUAAGUUAUCAAAAAAUAAAAUUGGUCCUGGUUAGUGCAGCAGAAGACAUGUGGAGGUUGAAAUUUAAUUUAAACCCUGGUUACACUUGCUGUUCAGUUUAAUUUAAAUGCAUUAAUUUAACUAAGUAAUGAU